GGACUACUAGGGUAUCUAAUCCCGUUUGCUCCCCUGGCUUUCGCGCCUCAGCGUCAGAAGAGGUCCAGCACGCCGCUUUCGCCACCGGCGUUCCUUCCGAUAUCUACGCAUUUCACCGCUCCACCGGAAGUUCCGCAUGCCCCUACCUCCCUCAAGACCACCAGUAUCCAAGGCACUUCCCCAGUUGAGCUGGGGGCUUUCACCCCGGACUUGAUGACCCGCCUACGCGCCCUUUAAGCCCAGUGAUUCCGAACAACGUUUGCACGGUUCGUCUUACCGCGGCGGCUGGCAC
Molecule: ribosomal RNA, 292 nt
Filed under: uncultured Planctomycetota bacterium
Lineage: Bacteria; Pseudomonadati; Planctomycetota
Description: uncultured planctomycete partial 16S ribosomal RNA
Source: RNAcentral